AAUGGUGGGUAAUACUGUAUAAUCCCUGCGGGGGAAAGAUUUAUCGCUACUAGAUGAGCCUAUGUCAGAUUAGCUAGUUGGUGGGGUAAUGGCCCACCAAGGCUGUGAUCUGUAGCUGGUCUGAGAGGAUGAUCAGCCACACUGGAACUGAGACACGGUCCAGACUCCUACGGGAGGCAGCAGUGGGGAAUAUUGGACAAUGGGCGCAAGCCUGAUCCAGCUAUGCCGCGUGAGUGAGGAAGGCCUUAGGGUUGUAAAACUCUUUCAGUAGGGAAGAUAAUGACGGUACCUACAGAAGAAGUCCCGGCAAACUCCGUGCCAGCAGCCGCGGUAAUACGGAGGGGGCAAGCGUUGUUCGGAAUUAUUGGGCGUAAAGGGCAUGUAGGCGGUUUGGUAAGUUAAAGGUGAAAUACCAGGGCUUAACCCUGGGGCUGCUUUUAAUACUGCAGGACUAGAGUCCGGAAGAGGAUAGCGGAAUUCCUAG
Molecule: ribosomal RNA, 484 nt
Filed under: Anaplasma ovis
Lineage: Bacteria; Pseudomonadati; Pseudomonadota; Alphaproteobacteria; Rickettsiales; Anaplasmataceae
Also listed under: 1 other name
Description: bacterial SSU rRNA
Rfam family: Bacterial small subunit ribosomal RNA
Source: RNAcentral